AUGGAUCGAAAUUCAACUUAUGUGCUGAAAAUCAAUUUGCUUGGCAACCCAAAAAAGGCUAGAAAGGAUAUCAAAUGCUUCUGUUUUGAUAAGGUUAUUGAUUCCGACUUAACAAAUUAUAAGGACUUGGUUGAAUCAAUCGUAGAGCAGUACUCGCCUCGUUAUUUGGAAGUUGAACAUGUUCAGUACUAUGAUGAUGUUCUUAAAAUCUACCCUGAAGUAACAUCUGACCAAGAAUUGGUGUCGAUGUUUGAGAAACACUCUAAGACAAAGGUUGUGCACAUGUUUGUUGCAUAUUGUGAUCCAUCGGAACCAUAUGAGCCUAUAACGGAGUGGCAUAGUGAUGCGCAUAGCCAACCUAACAACAUAGAACAAGAUGAUGAUGAUUAUCUUCGCAACCCAGUACCUGAGAAUGAGCAUGUUGGUGUUGAUGAGGAAAAUAUUUAUUUAGAGGAUGAACAUGUACCUCUUAUCAUGGUUCCUUGUUCCAAUAAAGAAAAGGACAAAGACUAUGUUCCUGAUCAUGAGAGCGAGGUUGAGAGCGAGGAUGAGAGCAUGUCAGAGGUUGAAGUAGAGGAAGAUGAGGAAUAUCACGAGGCAGAUCAUGCACCACACAUUGAAUAUAAUAAAUUAGAUCCUCCAAUGAACGAAGGAAGAAAAUAUCCCAAUAUGGCAGAGUUUAAAUUGGCGCUCUCUCGGCAUGCAAUCAAACAUGAAUUUGAGUUUGACACCGAAAAGAGUGCACCACAUAGGUUCAGAGCUUAUUGUUCAAGAAGGGAUGAAGAUAAGUGUCCAUGGAGGAUAUAUGCUUCUACAAUGGAAGAUGAGUGCACAGUAAUGGUGAGAAAGAACCCUUGUGGUCAUGAUUGCUCUAGUACAAAAAGAAAAAAGAAGUUGAAGAAUGCAAACAAGCGGUGGAUAUGUGAGCACGUGAAGGACUGGCUAAUUGAGGAUGCAACUCUAGGACCAAAGGCAUUGCGAAAGAAGCUUAAAGAGCAUCAUGGAAUCGACAUCAACUCUAAGAGAGUCUAUAUGGGUAAGCUGCUAGCCUUGAAGGAACUAUAUGGUGAUUGGGAUACAAGCUUUGAUAAUCUGUAUAGUUUCAAGGCGCAAAUUGAAAGUUGCUGCCCCGGUAGCAUAGUGAUCAUUGAUCAUCACACAAUAAAAGAUAAAAUCAGAUUUAAAAGAAUUUUUGUUGCUUUGAAGCCUUGCAUCGACGGGUUCCUUAAUGGCUGCAGGCCAUACUUGGCAGUAGAUAGCACCUUCUUGACAGGCAGGUUCAAGGGGCAGCUGGCUAGUGCUACUGGCGUUGAUGGCCAUAGUUGGAUGUAUCCAGUUUGUAUGGGUGUUUUCGAUUCUGAAACUAAUGAGAAUUGGACCUGGUUCAUGCAAAUGGUUAGACAAGCCAUAGGAUCCCCAAGGGGUUUAACCAUAUGCACCGAUGCUGGGCAACCAGUGAUGACAGGUGUAAAGGAAGUGUUCCCAGAGGCUGAACAUAGGGAAUGUAUGUUUCACUUGGUGUCCAACUUCAAGAAGAAGUUUCAUGGAAAGGUGUUUGAUGACCACCUUUGGGCUGCUGCUUACUCAUGGAACCCAUAUAUAUUUGAAAAACAUUGGGCUGCAAUGGACAUAGCAAAGCCUGCGGCAACUGCAUAUCUUAGGAGGUGGCACACUAGGUUGUGGUCUAGGAGUCAGUUCUCAACAAUUUCCAAGGUGGAUUAUGUUACAAACAACUUGGCUGAGUGCUUCAAUAAUUGGAUUAAGCAUCACAAGUCCUUGAACUUGGACGACUUCUUUGAUAAGGUUAGGCAGAUAAUUAUGAUCAUGUGGAACCGAAGGAGGAAAGUAGCAAGGAAGCUGGUUGGGUUGAUUCUUCCCCACAUUGACAAAUUUAAGGCAGCCUAUGACCAACUAAUUCCUGCCAUGGUUGACAAGAACCAAUGGCCUAAAUCUGACCAUGGAUUCUUCAUGUUUCCACCACUACUAAAAUCCACGGCGGGUAGGCAUAAAACUGAGAGGUAUAAAGGCUGCAGUGAGAAGAAAAGAAAAAGCGGCCAACACUUAUGCCCUAUGUGUAAGGACUAUGGGCAUCAUUGGCAUAAAUGCAAGAAGGGUAACCCAGAUGACAUUGCUGCUAUUUUAGCUGUGAGAGGACCGCCAAAGAAGAGGGCAAAGACCACCAAAGCAUCAAUUGUGCCUUGCGAGGAUGAUGCUCCAGCAGCCUCUAUGUGCUUUCCGCCAAGCCAAAGCUUGGAACCUACAACUACGAAAAAGAGAAAACACGAUAACUCAAUUACUGGAGCAUCAAAAAGCCAAAUGUUGGAGAAAACAACUAAGGAAAAAGGGAAAGGGAGUAAAUCUGGAUCUAGAGUAGCAAAAAGAUCAAGAACUCAACCCAUUUGUGUGGCCAACAAGAAAGCAUUUGUUGCUUUGAAAUUACAUGCCAAAAGAAAAGGCAAAGAGGUUGCUGAUAAGUUGCCACACCUUCCUAUGGUGCCACAUGAUAGCCCUGCAAUGGGCACACGUAGCAAAAAAAUGAAUCCCGCCAGCCCUGCAAUGAGCACACGAAGCAAAAGGAGGCGUAGCUUGUGA
RNAcentral lists this ribosomal RNA (2592 nucleotides) under Triticum aestivum (bread wheat). RNAcentral's name for it is "partial small subunit ribosomal RNA". The record is from RNAcentral. Lineage: Eukaryota; Viridiplantae; Streptophyta; Magnoliopsida; Poales; Poaceae.